CUGCACAAUUUCAUUCAUUUGAUAAUUUUGCAUUCAUUUGCAUCAUAUAUUUUCAAUUGGCAUUAUUUGAUUUUUCUUUCUUUUCCUUUCCAACGAAAAAACCUAAAUUCUAGCAAGGCUCCGGCGAGGGAUUAUGAUGGUGAUGAUGUUGUACAAUGAUUCAAAGAAAAUGGAUGGCAGUUGGAUCAAGUUAGGAGGAUUUUUGCUCAAACUCCAAUUUUCUUCAAAAUGAAGAAACUAGAACUUUGAUGAUGAAUUUAAUGCAGAGUUUUGGAUUUAUUUAGUAGUGAUUGAUUGUGUAGCUUGUAAAUAAAAUGGUGUUUAUUUAUAGGCUUUAGAAUUAGGUUAAAGGAUAGGAUGGGGAUUGUGAGAAAAUGCACAAAGUGUGAGUGAAUUUGAACUUCAUUUGGUGUAAUUUGAUUUGAAUUUGAAUUUGGCAUGAAAAUAUCUCAA
Molecule: long non-coding RNA, 453 nt
Organism: Lathyrus oleraceus (garden pea)
Lineage: Eukaryota; Viridiplantae; Streptophyta; Magnoliopsida; Fabales; Fabaceae
Exons: 2
Source: RefSeq, a predicted model, not a curated record